CAGCGCUUAACUGCGCGGAACAACCUUCUACACAUUGUUUUUUGUCGGCUUGUCCGAUUCUUUUUAAACACAAUAACUAUACUAUUUCAAAAAUUAAACAAAAAAAUCAAAACUUUCAGCAACGGAUCUCUUGGUUCUCGCAUCGAUGAAGAACGCAGCGAAUUGCGAUAAGUAAUGUGAAUUGCAGAUUUUCGUGAAUCAUCGAAUCUUUGAACGCAUAUUGCACUCUAUAGUAUUCUGUAGAGUAUGCUUGUUUGAGCGUCAUUUCAUUCUUAAACUCUUGAGUUUAGUUAUGGAGGAAGUCUGCUUGCAGACGUCUCUGAAAUGAAUUGGCACUGACCUCAUCAUACUUAUGGUGUGCGAAAUUUAUUAUCUUAGGUUUUUCCAGUUUAGUAAAUUACCGUAUACUUGUGUGUUAAGGAAGGGGCCGUUAGAACACCAUCUAAUUUUGACCUCAAAUCAAGUAAGGAU
RNAcentral lists this unclassified non-coding RNA (471 nucleotides) under Saccharomycopsis synnaedendra. RNAcentral's name for it is "sequence contains ITS1, 5.8S rRNA gene and ITS2". The stretch from base 111 to 264 matches the Rfam family "5.8S ribosomal RNA". Lineage: Eukaryota; Fungi; Ascomycota; Saccharomycetes; Ascoideales; Saccharomycopsidaceae. The record is from RNAcentral.